RNAcentral lists this non-coding RNA (134 nucleotides) under Streptomyces sp. NRRL S-1521. RNAcentral's name for it is "Streptomyces RNA 3920". It matches the Rfam family "Streptomyces RNA 3920". Rfam says of the family: Identified by deep sequencing of transcriptome at the end of exponential growth phase. Sequencing size consistent with northern blot size. Lineage: Bacteria; Bacillati; Actinomycetota; Actinomycetes; Kitasatosporales; Streptomycetaceae. The record is from Rfam by way of RNAcentral.
GAUAGGUCUCUGUCGCUACCGUGAUUGGACACUGACACACAGUCAACUAGCCUUGUCGACGCGGUUCUUCGCGCGGGGAACGCGAGGAAUCAGAGCGGUCCGAGCCACGAGGGGGGAGGCUCGGACCGUUCGAU